RNAcentral lists this ribosomal RNA (238 nucleotides) under uncultured bacterium. Its description in RNAcentral is "partial 16S ribosomal RNA". It matches the Rfam family "Bacterial small subunit ribosomal RNA", at positions 15 to 236 of the family's 1533-position model. The record is from RNAcentral.
GAUCCUGGCUCAGGACGAACGCUGGCGGCGUGCUUAACACAUGCAAGUCGAACGAGAAUCUACUGAAGGAGUUUUCGGACAACGGAAGCAGAGGAAAGUGGCGGACGGGUGAGUAACGCGUGAGGAACCUGCCUUGAAGAGGGGGACAACAGUUGGAAACGACUGCUAAUACCGCAUGACGCAUAGAGGUCGCAUGAUCUUUAUGCCAAAGAUUUAUCGCUUCAAGAUGGCCUCGCGU